UACGGGAGGCAGCAGUUGGGAUAUAUUGGACAAUGGGCGCGAGCCUGAUCCACCCAUUCCGCGUGAGUGAUGAAGGCCUUAGGGUCGUAAAGCUCUUUCCCCGGUGAAGAUAAUGACGGUANCCGGAGAAGAAGCCCCGGCUAACUUUGUGCCAGCAGCCGCGGUAAUAUGAAGGGGGCUAGCGGUGUUCGGAAUUACUGGGCGUAAAGCGCACGUAGGCGGAUAUUUAAGUCAGGGGUGAAAUACCAGAGUUCAACUCUGGAACUACCUUUGAUACUUGGUAUCUUAAGUAUGGACGAGGUAAGUGGAAUUUCGCGCCAGAGAUUAAAUUCGUCCCUCUUCGCAGGAACUUCAGCGCCCAAGAAGGC
This 368-nucleotide ribosomal RNA is filed under the name uncultured marine bacterium. RNAcentral's name for it is "bacterial SSU rRNA". It matches the Rfam family "Bacterial small subunit ribosomal RNA", at positions 340 to 723 of the family's 1533-position model. The record is from RNAcentral.